AACCAUUAGAAAAUAAAGUUCAGUAUGUUAACACCUUUAGCCGAUAAAGUCACACUUGUGAAACAAUAUGAGAGGUUUGAACUUUCAGAAAAAGACUCAGAACCAGAAUCAAAUGCUGUUAUACUGCCUUUUUACCCUCUUUUUUUCUAUUUGAGGUUUUAUUUUACACCAAGUGCCAAUCAGAAUAAAAAUGCUUUGCCCGAUCUGCAAAAGAAGCAUACAACAAUUUCUAAUUUGCAACAUGUUCUGCAUACCUGGAAUGCUGUAAACUUAAAAGGGCUUUCUGAUUGGAACAUCCCAUCCUCAUCAAGCCAUCUCUCUGGUUUGAACUCCUCUGCAUCAUCACCCCAAAUGAAUUGCAUUCUGCCCAUUGCAUAAGGUUGAUAACAAACCAUAUCCCCUUUCCUCACACUGAACCCAUCUGGUAGAGUAUCAUCAGAGAAGCAUACCUUUGCAUCCUGCAAUCAAUGUGAAGAGAUAGUGAGAACCAAAGAACAAGGAAGCUAAUUUCUAACCUUCCAGAUACGCAUUAAAUGGAUAUCAGUUUAUAGAUGCAUGUUCUUGGAUGUACAUUAACAAGUUCAGUUGGAGGAUUCAAGAUUCAAGGCAACUUUGCUUACAACUGGAACAGCGGGGUAGAGCCUUAAUGUUUCAGUUAUGGCUGCAUGGAGAUAGUGCAUUUUUCCUAAAGCUUCUUCGCUCAAGAUAGCAGCAAAUUCAGCAUAAUCUUUAACAUCUUUCGUGUCAGUUGCUUCCUUCACUUCUUGUGCAACCUUUUCUUGAACAUCAGGAUGCUUGCAGAGCAUGUAAAUAAACCACGACAGAGUAGCUGCCGUUGUGUCUUUCCCAGCAAUUAUGAAGUUAAGGAUUAUAUCUCGCAAGUAUGUUGGAUCAGUGUCACUCACUUGUAGAAAUCUGGAUAAAAUGUCUUCCUUUUUCAUCUGCAUAAUCUGUAGAAAAUAAUAAUUUCAAUAUUCCACUUCAACAGGUAAUAUAAGUUGUUAACUAUAAGUAGCUCUACUGUUCUAGUUCACUCACUGAAGAUUCAUCCUUUGAGUUGCGCAUUUGCUCAAUCUUGUUGUGGAUCAGCUUAUACACAAAAUUAUCAACCACUUCUAUACUUUUCUUCAGUGUGGCCUCUGAUCCAAUAUUUAGAAAUCUUUUGAUCUUCCAGAAGAUAUCAACAUAUCGGAAGAGGAUUGCUGCACUUGAAUCAUCAAAAGCAGCUGUAAACUGUUUGCCUUCUAAAUUUGAUCCACACAUGCUGUCUAGUUCGACUCCAAAUGCAACUUUGAAUAUUGAAUCUAAAGUCGAUUUCAUAAACAAGUCCUGCACAAUAUAUCGUUAUAACAGAUUCAUUUUAUAUAUCACUCUGCCAUUGAUCUUGCCAUUAGGUGAACUUACCUGUAUAUCCAUUAUCUCAUUGGAAUUUGCUGCUUCAGACACUAUAGUCGCAAGUUUUGCCGCAUUUUCCCGAAAGACUACACUGCUGAAAUCUCUCAAGACCUUGGUUGAGAAUUCAUAGCUUGAUACUUUCCUCUGUUGACGCCACUUAUCACCAUCGACAGUGAAAAUCCCAUCGCCUAGUAAACCCUUUAGCAAGCUGUAAUUGUACUCACCCUGCACAAAAAAUUAAACAGAUUGGAAAACCAAAACAACUCCACCAUUCUGCCUUUUGGGUGGCCAUAUAAUUAUCAAAAGCCCUUUCAUUCCAACUAAUCACUCUGCGGCACAUUAGCAUCUUCAAUUGACUUACUUGUGGCGAGAUUGAGACCCUUUUCUUAAUCUAAUUAUGGGUGUUUCUGUCUAGGCUACUUAUACUAACCAAUCACCGGGAGAGUUCAGAAUUUUCUAGACCAACAAAUUAUUUGUGACUUUGAGGUGUGAAACGAGAGUCGGCACCAUACCUUGCCAUAAUUCUGGAAAUUUGUUUUGAGAAUAUACUCAACAUUGUCGGGUUCCGAGGUAUAAAUCUCAUUCCUGAAAGGGCUAAGCAGCCUGUAGGUCCUGUACUUCCCUGCAAGAUCAGUCAUAUAGUGAUGCAAUCUUCUGAAGUUGAGGAGCUGGUUAAAAACCGUUCCGCCAACAGGAUGGUACUUGGCCUUAUUUUUCCUCUGCCUUUCUCUUAGUUUUGCUGUGAGGAACUUGACAGUGAAAAGGGCAAGGAUUAGACUUAGAACCAAAGCUACCAAGGGAACUGGGUUAGACAGAUCCAUGGACAUGGAGGUACGUUUGGGUAAGCUGGUCUAUCAAUGUUAGGUGAAGGCUGUAUUAAACUAGAGAAGUCGGUUUUGUAAUACUAAUAAUAUCAACGGAGAGAAGUCCUUCUGCUAAGUCAUUCCUCUCAACCAAACGUGUCAUAACCUAAUUGGACGACAUUCGGACAAGCCCUAAACGUGGUUCUCUCGAAUUUCACAAGGUGAUCUUUUUGAAAAUUGGUAAAAAAUUACUAAUAAACUUCACCACAGCCAAGUAACAAAACAAAGGGCCAUACUUGUUAUUUCCUUAGUUAUGAUGAUAAAGAACAUACAAAUCUCUUCUAAUUGGUUAUUCUAUAGUUAAGUAAAGAGAAUGAUUUUUGAAUUUAAUUCUUAAAUAAGAAAAUACGUGUAUUUAUCAUGUUAAAUUUAAUACUCAAAUGAAAAAUUAAUUAGAAUUUUAUUUCGGAGCAUAUGAUACAAUCAAGUAACUUAAGUACAAAGAUGAUUAAGCUUGGCAAACAAGGAUAUGUCAUGUUUCUCAAUCCGAGAGAUAAGAAGCACAGAGCCAAAGGCCCUGCAAAAAGGCAGGGGAGAACUGAAUUGUUGUUUCCUAAAACUUUGCAUUAAGAUCAACAUGACUUUCUAGUCAUUAAAUAUUCUGCUAGAUUUCGAACUUGCAAAUAUGGUCUGUUUUAAUGAAAUUGCAGAAUGUUGUCUCACGUCUCAAGAACUUUGAUUUCACUUCUUUUUCAAGGAAAAAAAAAUGGUUUCACUUAGUUUGCAGAAGUGUCCUGAACUCAAUUUUCAGACAAAAGUAUGGUUCAAGACUCCUUGGUGAGUGAAAGUAAUUCUUCAUCAUAUUUAUUCCUUUAUUUUUCUUUUUGGAUAUCAUUGUAUUUAUUCUUGUGCAAGGACAAGUACAUGCAUACUCAAACCUUGCAAUUGCCCAGCAUACAGAACUGAGCCAACAGAUGAAACCCGUGGUCAAAUAGGCAAGAAAGACUAAGUCUGACAUCUGGGAAAUGCGCGGACAUGAAGGCCCCCAUCUACAUGAAGAGUGAUCAUCGUCCUGUAGGUGACAGAUUUAUUCUCAUCACUCAGUUUGAACACAAAGUAGUGCACAAGAACAGCCGAGAAGAUCUUCAUCUGCCUAUAAGCAAAUUCCUUGCCUAAACAAAUUCGAGGCCCUGCCUGUAAACCAUUAGAAAAUAAAGUUCAGUAUGUUCACAUCUUUAGCCGGUGAAAUCACACUUGUGAAACAAUAUGAGAAGUUUGAACUUUCGGAAAAAGACCCAGAACCAGAAAUCAAAUGCCGUUAUACUGAUUUUUUACCCUUUUUUCCUAUUUGAGGUUUUAUUUUACACCAAGUGCCAAUCAGAAUAAUAAUGCUUUGGCCGAUCUGGAAACGAAGCGUACAAGAAUUUCUAAUUUGUAGUAUGUUCUGCACACCUGGAAUGCUGUAAACUUAAAAGGGCUUUCUGGUUGGAACAUCCCAUCCUCAUCAAGCCAUCUCUCUGGUCUGAACUCCUCUGCAUCAUCACCCCAUAUGAAUUUCAUUCUGCCCAUUGCAUAAGGUUGAUAACAAACCAUAUCUCCUUUCCUCACACUGAACCCAUCUGGAAGAGUAUCAUCAGAAAAGCAUAUCUUUGGAUCCUGCAAUCAAAGUGAAGAGGUAGUGAGAACCAAAGAAAACCCCAGAACAUAGAAAGGAAGCUAAUUUCUAGCCUUCCCGAUACGCCUUGAAUGGAUAUCAGUUUAUAGAUGCAUGUUCUUUGAUGUGCAUUAACAAGUUCAGUUGGAGGAUUCAAGAUUCAAGGCAACUUUGCUUACAACUGGAACAGCGGGGUAGAGCCUUAAUGUUUCAGUUAAGGCUGCAUGGAGAUAGUGCAUUUUUCCUAGAGCUUCUUCGCUCAAGAUAGCAGCAAAUUCAGCAAAAUCUUUAACCUCCAUCGUGUCAGUUGCUUCCUUCACUUCUUGUGCAACCUUUUCUUGAACAUCAGGAUGCUUGCAGAGCAUGUAAAUAAACCACGACAGAGUAGCUGCUGUUGUGUCUUUCCCAGCAAUUAUGAAGUUAAGGAUUAUAUCUCGCACGUAUGUUGGGUCAGUGUCAUUCAAUUGCAGAAAUCUGGAUAAAAUGUCUUCCUUUUUCAUCUGCACAAUCCGUAGAAUACAAUUAUUUCAAAAUUCUACAUAGAAACCGUUAAUUAUAAGUAGCUCUAUUCUUCUAGUUCACUCACAGAAGAAUCGUUCGAGUUACGCAUCUGCUCAAUCUUGUUGUGGAUCAGCUUAUACACAAAAUUAUCAACCACUUUUGUACUUUUCUUUAGUUUUGCUUCUGAUCCAAUAUUUAAAAAUCUCUUGAUCUUCCAGAAGAUAUCAACAUAUCGGAAGAGGAUUGCUGCGCUUGAAUCAUCAAAAGCAGCUGUAAACUCUUUGCCUUCUAAAUUUGAUCCACACACGCUGUCUAGUUCAACUCCAAAUCCAACUUUGAAUAUCGAAUCUAAAGUCGAUUUCAUAAACAAGUCCUGCACAACAUUUCGCUAUAACAGGUUCAUAUUAUAUAUCACUCCGUCAUGGAUCUUGCCAUUAGGUGAACUUACCUGAAUAUCCAUUAUCUUGUUGGACUUCGCUGCGUCAGACACUAUAUUUGCAAGCUUUGCUGCAUUUUUCCGAAAGACUACAGUGCUGAAAUCCCUCAACACCUUCGUUGAGAAUUCAUAGCUUGACACUUUCCUCUGUUGACGCCACUUAUCACCAUCGACUGCGAAAAUCCCAUCACCUAGUAAACCCUUUAGCAAGCUGUAAUUGUACUCACCCUGCACAGAAAAUUAGACAAAUUGAAAAACCAAAACGACCCCACCAUUCUGCCGUAGCCAUAUAAUUAUCAAAAACUCUUUCGUUAUAGCAAAUAACCCUGCAGCACAUUAGCAUUUGUAGUUGACUUAAUUGUGACUAUAGAUUGAGACACUCUUUCAUAUUCUAAUUCUGGGUGUUACUGUCUAAGCUACUUCUUCCAACCAAUGACAGGGGGAGUUCAAAAUUUUCUAGACCAACAAAUUACCUUGCCAUAAUUCUGGAAAUUUGUUUUGAGAAUAUAUUCAACGUUGUCUGGUUCCGAGGUAUAAACCUCACUCCUGAAAGGGCUAAGCAGCCUGUAGUUCCUGUACUUCCCAGCAAGAUCAGUCAUAUAGUGAUGCACUCUUUUGAAGUUGAGGAGCUGGUUAAAAAGUGUUCCGCCAACAGGAUGGUACUUGGUCUUGUUUUUUUUCUGCUUUUCUCUUAGUUUUGCUGCGAGGAACUUGACAGUGAAAAGGAUCAGGAUUAGAUUUAGAAACAAAGCGACCAAUGUAGCUGGGUUAGACAGAUCCAUGGAGAUGGAGGUCCUUUUUGGGUAAGCUGGUCGAUCAAUGUUAGCGGGUGAAGACUGAAGAAAACUAGAGGUCUUUUUAUAAUACUAAUAAUAUCAACGGGGAGAAAUCCUUUUGCUAAGUCAUUUCUCUUAACCAGACGUGUGACUAUAUUCGGACAAUCCGCAAACGUGUUUCUCUUAAAUUUUACGUGCACAUUGCUGAGAGUCCAACCAUGAGAGAGAUAUGCACCGACUUUCCUUCGUUGUCUCCUUUUUCGUUUUUAAAUUGUUAUAAGUUAUUAACUAAUUUCACCACAACCAAUUAACAAAACAAAGGGCAGGACUAGGUUUUUUUUUACUCAGUCAAUAUAACUAUUUAGAGAAAAUUGUGAAAAAUAACUCAUAAGGUGAUUUCAAAAAUAAUUAUCCAUAUAAUGUUAUCUGUUUUUACCAAAAAACAAACAUGAGUAAACCAAAAUGCUCUCAGAAACAUCCUGGCAAAUCAAUCUCCUAAUAUCUCUCUCGCUGUAAAGAAAAUAAAUACUCAGUUAUUUCAGCUCGCUCAACUCUUUCAGCUCUCUAAAUUAUAUCAGCUUUGUCAACUCUCUGUUAAGUACCAUCGUCAUCAACUCUCUUAGCUAUUUGAACUGUAUCAUCUAUAUGUACUUAUUAAAGAUAUAAAUUAAAGAAUAUAAAAGAAAACGAAGUAAAUGAAUAAUUGAAAAGACAAGUCGAGCCACUAAUUACUACAAUGAUCACUGUCUGAUCACGACAGCUAAAGCCACUGCAAUUGCUCGGCCAAUAAAGUUGACAAACUUUGUUGAAAUAGGACUUGCAUUGAAAAUCACGUCAGUUCAUACUAUCUUAGGAUCAUAUGUGACCAUUUUGUAUAAGCUAGCUUUCUUUCAAAUUAUGAUAACUAUGCAUUUAAUGAAUGAUUUAUAUGAUGAUUAGUAUGCAUUCUUAGGCCUAGCUACUGUUCAAAACUUAGUUGUUAAGUUUUGUUAUGUAUAUAAACUAAGUCAAUGCAUAUCAGAAAUAUGAAACCUACUGUUACAACAAAAACUGUCUUUACUUGCUCUGUUUCAUACUUAUCCUACAUCAACUAAAACACAACAAAACUUACUAAAUAAAGCAAUCUAUAUACCAACAAUGUCUUGGAAUUUAGCAAGUUUUAGUUUGUCCUCUUGGAAUGACAUAGAGGUCGAGGCCAUGCUGGAGGGUGAAGCCACAACAUGGUCCUAUCGUCUGCCAAGUUGAAGCGAAAGUAGUGAAUAAGGGAACUUUGUUGAGAUUUUCUUUAUCUGCUCAGAAGAAAUUAAGAAAAAAUUAUAUGGUGUAGAUACUUGAUUUUGAUUUUGAUUGUUAACAUAUUUCUUCAAUAUAAAGUAAAAUUAAUUUAUAAAACGUUGUAUUACUAUGUAAGAAGUAGUGUAGAUAAUUUAUAAUAAGUAGAAAAAUCACGUCAUUGUAUAAACUAGUGAAAAUAUCUUCGAAAUAAAUGAUGAGAUUUUUAAAUUAAUUUUUUUAAAAUGUUUUGAAGAGUUUGAUUUGAUAACUUAAAUACAUAAAUGAAAAUUUUCUAAAUACGUAUGCAUAAAAUCCACUAUCACCAUCAAUGACCUAAACAUUCAUAAGGCUUUAAUGCCUCAACAGUUGACAUUUUCUCAUUGGUAUGAAUAAAUUUCAUUAAUUACAAGAUUACUCAAUUCCAUAACCCUUCAAGAUAUUUUCUCAUUGAUUGUGUUCGAUUUGAUAAGGAUGUUAAUUUUUUUUUUUGAAUUACAAAUAUUUUUCAUUUUUUUAAAUAAUUAAGUGACGCACUUCUAAUGCCUCAGUAGCUGACAUUAAUUAUCCAUUGGUUGCAUUCACUUUGAUUCGGAGCUAAUUAACAACCGAAAAGUUGGCCGAUGUUUGCCGACUUGGAUUUAAUGGUCAUAUGAGUUGGUGUAACAAUGUGAUACCAAAAAGGUAGUAAUCAAUACAAAUUUUGAGUAGGAAGAGUACUGCAUUCAAAUGAAAUCAAGAAGAAGAUUGUGGAGAAAACUCUCAUUUAAUGGAAGAACAUGACUGCCAAAUACGAGUACCUAAACAUGGUUUGGCAAUUGCCAUCAUCCUAUGCAUCCCUAGGUUACUUAACUGAUUGAUGUAAUUCAUUGAAUAAAAUGGUUAGUUGUUAUUAUCAUGUCAUGUCAUCGUCAUGAUAUUUCUUCCUCUUUUGUGAGUAAUGAGAUUUUUGAAGGAUGGAGAUGACUCUACCUAAAUUCUUAGAUUUUUUUGUUGCUUAUUUUCAUUGUAUUUUGAGUUUUUGACUGUGUCUAACUGUUUAUCUUUUGCAAAGCCAUUUUUUCACCUUAAUUUCAACCCAGCAUCUGUGUGUUGUCCGAUGGGUUAGAAAAUGGGCAAGUUUGAUUGGUGGUUGAUUCCUUUUCUUCAGCAUUUUGGUAACUUGGGCCUAUAAAAUUUAUUUAUAGUAGACAAAAAAAAACUUUUAUUAAAAAAUAUUAUAGUAAAUAUUUGUUUCUUUUCGGAUAAUUGACUUUUAUUUAGCUAAGGAAUAUUUUAUUUGAAAUAUGUCCCAUAUAUACCACUGAAAAUCCAAGGCUUUUUAUGGUUAUUCAUUCUUAAUGGCAUUUCUACUAAAUGCUUUCUAAGAAUCAGAACGCAUGGUGUAUGUCCUACAAUACAAAUGGUGAUAACCUUUGUUUUUGGUGUUACAGCCAUGGAGGAAAAGAGUGAUGAUAUUUUAUUUUCUUGUCACUUCAUACGGUCCAUGGAGGAAAUGUGGAUAGAUCGAAGAUAAGUAAAUCAAGAUUCACAGACUGUGAAAGCGUAUUAAAAGAUGAGAACUUUUUGACUUGGAUUUUUUUUAAUAAAAGUUCUUUGCUUGGAUUUUUUUUUAGUAAAAAUUCUUUGCUUGGAUUUAAGAGAUGAGAUUCAAAGAACUUUUAAGAGAUGCAGCAAACAACCUCAAAAUCCAAGCUCUUUGCUUGUAAGCUUCCUAGCCACUUGUAAACAGAAAAUACGGCUUCUAUGGAGUCCCAAUCUCGGGAAAUGGUCAGGGCAUAUAGACCAGAUGACUCGAAUUGUACAUAUAUUUUUUUCUUUUUUGGUGAAAUAACUCAAAUUCCAUUGAUCAACACAUUUACAGAAAAAAGCAAAUCAACACUAUAGAAAAAUGCAAAUCGGGGCUCUUAUGUACAACCAGCAAGGUUGAAGACUUGAAGUUGAACAAAUUGAUGACUUUGCACAGGAGGAUAUUUGGAAAUUCAUCAACUUGUCCUUGGAACAGCAUAAAGAUGGAGGCCCCCCUUCAUAUGAAGUGUGAACAUUGUCCUGUAAGUUGCAAUUUUCGUAUAAUCAACUAAUUUAAAGCGGAAGAAGCGAAGAAGGGCAAUUGAGACUAUCUUCAUCUACCGGUGAGCAAAAUCCUUGCCUAAGCAAGUUCGAGGACCCGCCUGAAACAUAAUGCAGCAGCUGGAAAAGAUUAAGAUCGUUUGACAACUAUAUAGGCACAUGCAUGUUAUACACAUGGUAGAAAUGGAACAAAGAAUACUAACAUGAAAUGCUAUGAAUUUGAAAGGGGAUUCGGACUGGAAAACUCCAUUGUUAAGCCAUCUUUCUGGUCGAAAAGUGUCGGCAUCUUCUCCCCAAAUGUCAGGCAUUCUACGCAUGGCGUAGGCCAUGUAAUACACCCCGUCUCCUUUCUUGAGUUUGUAGCCAUCGGGGAGAAUGUCAUCCUGCUCUGCAUUCCUUCCAUCCUUGAAGCACAAAGUGAGAACCAUAUCAUAUUCCAGCUGUCGAAAUGCUAAGACUGCAAGAAAAUCUAUGAGUGUCUCAGGCACCUUACAAUGGCGACAGCAGGGUACAGCCUUAAGGUCUCUGUUAUGGCUGCAUGAAGAUAGUGCAUUUGCUCUAGGGUUGAAUCAGUUAUGGUUGUCACGAAAUCAUCAACAUUAUUAGCACCAUUUCUUUUACUACUAGUGACGUCCACCACUUCUUGUGCAAGUUUUUCUUGUAUCAAAGGGUUCUUGCAGAGCAUGUAGAAGAACCAGGACAGAGUAUUCGCAGAAGAAUCUUUGCCAGCGAGUACGAAGUUCAGGAUUAUAUCCCUUAAAUAUUUGUCAUUCAUUGUGUCUGGAUUCUUCUCGCUUUCCACUAAAAAUCUUGAAAGUAUGUCUUCUUUCACAUUCUUGAAGCCAUAAAAAGAAAUAAGAAAAAACAAACCAAUUAUUAGUAAAGUAUAAAUUUCCACGCCAAAAACCAGAUUACCUUAAGCAGUGAGAUUGAAUUCAACAGUGUUCUUGUGACUCUCAAGUCCCACCAUAUUUGUUAGACCAAGAUUGACUAUAAGAAAUUCUUGCAGCAAAAUAUAUAUGGCUCACCAAAUCUCGUUCCAUGCCCAGCAGUUUCCUCUUGGAGCUAAUGACAUCGUGAACAAAGUAUCAACGACUUUGAUAUUCUUUCUGAGGGCAGCUUCAGAGCCAAUGUUAAGAGACCGUUUCAGCUUCCAGAAAGGGUCAACAAAGCGCCUCUCAUUUGAAUCAUCAAAAGCCUUCAUAAAAGUAGUCCCUUCCUUACUUGACCCAUCCAUGCAGUUUAAAUCUAUGCCAAACCCAACUUUGAAUAUGGAAUCUAGAGUGCAUGUCAUUAAUAGAUUCUACAAAUUAAAGUAAACACAGCAUGAAAAACUGAAAAAGGGAAAAUUAGACAAGCAUAAUUGUGAGCAUCUUUAAAGUUUUGGGUUAAUUUGAGGGUCAGAUUUCUCACUUGCAUGUCAAAAGCUUGACCCGACACUUCCAGCUUCGAAAUAACUCCAACCAGUUUGGCAGCGUUCCUUCUGAAAACAGAGCAGCUAAAAUAUUUAAGAACUCUCGUCGAGAACUCGAAGCUUGCCAGCUUCCGCUGCUUCCGCCACUUGUCUCCGUCCACCGCAAAGAUCCCUUGUCCAAAAAGAUCUAUCAGAAUUUCUUGGUUUUGUUUACCCUUACAGUAUCUGUCGAACUUUGUUUUCAAUAUGUACUCUACAUUUCGCGUAUCGACGGUGUAUACUACGCUUAGCCCUAAAGCGAGUUGCCUGUAAGUGGGCUGUUUUUUGGCCGCUUGGGUUUGGUAGUCGUAGAGAUAGUUGAAAUAAAACAACUGGUUGAAAACGCUGCCCUUCACCGGUGGGUUGUCAGGAUUUCCGAUGGAUUUUCCGGUGAAGAUUUUGAUUGUGAGAAAAGAGAAGAUCAGGAAGAGAAUGAGUGGUGGUAAUGACAUCAACAAGAAGAUGGUAGAGAGAAUAUCCAUUUUUCCUUUUUCUAAUGAAUACUCGGAAAGGUUAUAGGCCAUAUAUGCAGAUUCUUGCAUUGGGUUGCAUUCAUUUUUCAACCUACCAACAAAAUCAAACCGUUUUCAUCACCAAUAUCUUUCUCAACAACAAAAUCAUUUGUUUAAUAAUUAUAAUGUUUACACGUGUACGAUUGCCAUUUCAUCAAUUUGAUUUUUCUUGUAAAUUAAGUUGAUGCCACCAUAUCUCAUACUUCAAAAAUUUUAGAGGAUUGUACGGAUAAUCAUAAAUUUAUAAUCAUAAUUAUAAUCUAUUUAACUUCUAAAGUGAAUUAACAUAUAUAACUUUAAUCAAGUAAGCAUGAAAAAAGUGUAUCAUUUAAGUUUGGGUCUUGUUUACGAAUAUUCUAAGAGUUUUUUUAUCGUUAAUUAAAAUAUUAUAAUAAUAUUUUUCUUUUAAAUGUCGUAAUUGACUGGUAGUGCGAUGAUUUUCAAUAUAUCUAAAAUGAUAUUACUCAAUAUAAUAACUUUAAAUAAUAUCAUUAUAACAAUAGUUAGUAAAAGUCAUAAUAUUCAAAAAAGCUUUUAAAUUAUUCAAAAAAUUUAAAAUAAAUCUUACUUUUAUUAUAUUCAAUUAUAUUUUUAUAUUUUUAUUUUAGAUCAAAUAAAUCUUUUAUUUUUAUUUUGAAUCAAAUAAAUCUUUAUAAAUAAUAAUUGACUUAGUUAAAAUGUUAUUUGUCAUUAUAUAUUACGUGACGCUGAUGUAGUAUACUAACAUAUCAUAAUUAAUGAUGAUGUGAUAUGUUGAUUUAUCAUAUUUGAUAAUGAUAUGACAUGCUAGUUUAACCUAAUAACAUGAUGACAUUUUUCAAUCUCUACAUUAAUAUCAUAUUAGUGCCACGUGGAUAUAAAAUGAUAAAAUAUAUUUUGACUAAUGAAAAUUAGUCAAUUAUUAUUAAUAAAAGCUUAUUUGAUCUAAAAUAAAAAUAUAGAGACUUGAUUAAGCGUAACAAAAGAAUAAAAAUUUAUUCGAAUUUUGUUAAAUAGUUUCAGAGCUUAUUUGAGAAAUAUGUGUUAGUAAAACCAUUUAUAUUUAAAUUUUUAUUUUAUUUUUUGAAAAGUAAUUUGUCAUAAACGGAAUAAUGACAUGGCUAUAGAUUAAGCUAGGCUAUAAACUUAUUUCAGCCUUAAAUGAUUAACAAUGAAUAAGGUGCGUCCCCUCUCAAGAAACCCCUAUACAAUAGUUAGGAUAAACCCUUAAAGGAUGGACCUCAGGACCGGGGGCAGCUCAAGUACCUCUUGUGACGACAUGAUAUUCAUUGAAGACUAUUUGGACUUCAAGCGUGUUCAUCCAUUGACAUUGGCAAUUAGUUUCUGCUGGCAUGAACCGUAUGGCGACCACUUGUAUGAUUGUGAUAUAUCAUGCUGUUGAGUGCGAGCUCAACUUUGUUGAAGUACAUUGGUGUCCUUGGUUUUGUUGAAUUCUGACAAUAGACAUCCCAUACCCAAUUCAUAGCAUACAUAUGGCUUUUAUCUUUGUUUAAAUUGAAUUAAGAACAUCCGGAUUCAUUUCAUACUCAUAAGAUCUUAAGAUGAUCAAGAUUUGCACUUAACGGAAGCAAAACUGGCCUGAACUCAAUAUUCAGACAAAAGUAUGGUUCUAGACUCUUUGGUCAGUGAAAGCAACCAUCCAUCAUAUCGAUUCCUUUCGUCCUUUUUGCUUGGUGACAUCAUCCGAUUUACUCAUGUGCAAGGAAAGAUACAAGUAUAUUAACAGUGUGCAUUUGCCUAGUAUAAAGAACUGAGCCACCAGAUGAAACCCUUGGUCAAAUAAGCUAGAAAGACCAAAGUUAAGUCUGACAUCUGUGAAGUGCGCGGACAUGAAGGCCCCCAUCUACAUGAAGAUUGAUCAUCGUCCUGUAGGUGACACAUUUAUUCUCAUCACUCAGUUUGAACGCAAAGCAGUGCACCAGAACAGCUGAGAAGAUCUUCAUCUGCCUAUAAGCAAAUUCCUUGCCUAAACAAAUUCGAGGCCCUGCCUGUAAACCAUUAGAAAAUAAAGUUCAGUAUCUUCACAUCUUUAGCCGGUAAAAUCACACUUGUGAAACAAUAUGAGAGGUUUGAACUUUCAGAAAAAGACUCAGAACCAGAAUCAAAUGCUGUUAUGCUGCUUUUUUACCAUUUUUUUUCUAUUUGAGGUCUUUUUUUACACCAAGUGCCAAUCAGAAUAAAAAUGCUUUGCCCGAUCUGCAAAAGAAGCAUACAACAAUUUCUAAUUUGCAACAUGUUCUGCAUACCUGGAAUGCUGUAAACUUAAAAGGGCUUUCUGGUUGGAACAUCCCCUCCUCAUCAAGGCAUCUCUCUGGUCUGAACUCCUCUGCAUCAUCACCCCAAAUGAAUUUCAUUCUGCCCAUUGCAUAAGGUUCAUAACAAACCAUAUCUCCUUUCCUCACACUGAACCCAUCUGGAAGAGUUUCAUCAGACAAGCAUAUCUUUGCAUCCUGCAAUCAAAGUGAAGAGGUAGUGAGAACCAAAGAAAACCCCAGAACAUAGCAAGGAAGCUAAUUUCUAGCCUUCCCGAUAUGCAUUGAAUGGAUAUCAGUUUAUCGAUGCAUGUUCUUUGAUGUGCAUUAACAAGUUCAGUUGGAGGAUUCAAGAUUCAAGGCAACUUUGCUUACAACUGGAACAGCGGGGUAGAGCCUUAAUGUUUCAGUUAAGGCUGCAUGGAGAUAGUGCAUUUUUCCUAGGGCUUCUUCGCUCAAGAUAGCAGCAAAUUCAGCAAAAUCUUUAACCUCCUUCGUGUCAGUUGCUUCCUUCACUUCUUGUGCAACCUUUUCUUGAACAUCAGGAUGCUUGCAGAGCAUGUAAAUAAACCACGACAGAGUAGCUGUCGUUGUGUCUUUCCCAGCAAUUAUGAAGUUAAGGAUUAUAUCUCGCAAGUAUGUUGGAUCAGUGUCACUCACUUGUAGAAAUCUGGAUAAAAUGUCUUCCUUUUUCAUCUGCAUAAUCUGUAGAAAAUAAUAAUUUCAAUAUUCUACUUCAACAGGUAAUAUAAGCUGUUAACUAUAAGUAGCUCUACUGUUCUAGUUCACUCACUGAAGCUUCAUCCUUUGAGUUGCGUAUUGGCUCAAUCUUGUUGUGGAUCAGCUUAUACACAAAAUUAUCAACCACUUCUAUACUUUUCUUCAGUGUGGCCUCUGAUCCAAUAUUUAGAAAUCUUUUGAUCUUCUAGAAGAUAUCAACAUAUCGGAAGAGGAUUGCUGCACUUGAAUCAUCAAAAGCAGCUGUAAACUGUUUGCCUUCUAAAUUUGAUCCACACAUGCUGUCUAGUUCGACUCCAAAUGCAACUUUGAAUAGUGAAUCUAAAGUCGAUUUCAUAAACAAGUCCUGCACAAUAUAUCGUUAUAACAGAUCCAUUUUAUAUAUCACUCUGCAUUGAUCUUGCCAUUAGGUGAACUUACCUGUAUAUCCAUUAUCUCAUUGGAAUUUGCUGCUUCAGACACUAUAGUUGCAAGUUUUGCCGCAUUUUCCCGAAAGACUACACUGCUGAAAUCUCUCAAGACCUUGGUUGAGAAUUCAUAGCUUGAUACUUUCCUCUGUUGACGCCACUUAUCACCAUCGACAGUGAAAAUCCCAUCACCUAGUAAACCCUUUAGCAAGCUGUAAUUGUACUCACCCUGCACAGAAAAUUAAACAGUUUGGAAAACCAAAACAACUCCACCAUUCUGCCUUUUGGGUGGCCAUAUAAUUAUCAAAAGCCCUCUCAUUCCAACUAAUCACUCUGCGGCAUAUUAGCAUCUACAAUUGACUUACUUGUGGCGAGAUUGAGACCCUUUUUCUUAAUCUAAUUACGGGUGUUUCUGUCUAAGCUACUUACACUAACCAAUCACCGGGAGAGUUCAGAAUUUUCUAGACCAACAAAUUAUUUGUGACUUUGAGGUGUGAAACGAGAGUCGGCACCAUACCUUGCCAUAUUUCUGGAAAUUUGUUUUUAGAAUAUACUCAACAUUGUCUGGUUCCGAGGUAUAAAUCUCAUUCCUGAAAGGGCUAAGCAGCCUGUAGUUCCUGUACUUCCCAGCAAGAUCAGUCAUAUAGUGAUGCAAUCUUCUGAAGUUGAGGAGCUGGUUAAAAACCGUUCCGCCAACGGGAUGGUACUUGGCCUUAUUUUUCCUCUGCCUUUCUCUUAGUUUUGCUGUGAGGAACUGGACGGUGAAAAGGGUCAGGAUUAGACUUAGAACCAAAGCUACCAAGGGAACUGGGUUAGACAGAUCCAUGAAGAUGGAGGUACGUUUGGGAAAGCUGGUCUAUCAAUGUUAGGUGAAGGCUGUAUUAAACUAGAGAAGUCGUUCUGAAAUACUAAUAAUAUCAACGGAGAGAAGUCCUUCUGCCAAGUUAUUCCUCUCAACCAAACGUGUCACAACCUAAUUGGACUACAUUCGGACAAGCCCGAAACGUGGUUCUCUCGAAUUUCACAAGGUGAAAUUUUUGAAAUUGGCAAAAAAUUACUAAUAAAUUUCACCACAACCAGAUAACAAAACAAAGGGUCAUACUUAUUUUUUCCUUAGUUAUGAUGGUAAAGGACAUACAUAUCUGUUCUAUUCGGUUAUUUUGUAGUUAAGUAAAGAGAAUGAUUUUUUAAUUUAAUUUUUAAAUAAAAAUACGUGUAUUUAUCAUGUUAAGUUUAAUAUUCAGAUGAAAAAUUAAUUAGAAUUUUAUUUCAAAGCAUAUGAUACAAUUAAGUAACUUAAGUACAAAGAUGAUUAAGCUUAGCAAACAAGGAAAUGUCAUAUUUCUCAAUCCGAGAGAUAAGAAGCACAGAGCCAAAGGCCCUGCAAAAAGGCAGGGGAGAACUGAAUUGUUGUUUCCUAAAACUUUGCAUUAAGAUCAACAUGACUUUCUAGUCAUUAAAUAUUCUGCUAGAUUUCGAACUUGCAAAUAUGGUCUGUUUUAAUGAAAUUGCAGAAUGUUGUCUCAGGUCUCAACAACUUUGAUUUCACUUCUUUUUCAAGGAAAAAAAAAUGGUUUCACUUAGUUUGCAGAAGUGUCCUGAACUCAAUUUUCAGACAAAAGUAUGGUUCGAGACUCCUUGGUGAGUGAAAGUAAUUCUUCAUCAUAUUUAUUCCUUUAUUUUUCUUUUUGGAUAUCAUUGUAUUUAUUCUUGUGCAAGGACAAGUACAUGCAUACUCAAACCUUGCAAUUGCCCAGCAUACAGAACUGAGCCAACAGAUGAAACCCGUGGUCAAAUAGGCAAGAAAGACUAAGUCUGACAUCUGGGAAAUGCGCGGACAUGAAGGCCCCCAUCUACGUGAAGAGUGAUCAUCGUCCUGUAGGUGACAGAUUUAUUCUCAUCACUCAGUUUGAACACAAAGUAGUGCACCAGAACAGCCGAGAAGAUCUUCAUCUGCCUAUAAGCAAAUUCCUUGCCGAAACAAAUUCGAGGGCCUGCCUGUAAACCAUUAGAAAAUAAAGUUCAGCAUGUUCACAUCUUUAGCCGGUGAAAUCACACUUGUGAAACAAUAUGAGAAGUUUGAACUUUCGGAAAAAGACCCAGAACCAAAAAUCAAAUGCUGUUAUACUGCUUUUUUAGCCUCUUUUUCUAUUUGAGGUUUUAUUUUACACCAAGUGCCAAUCAGAAUAAUAAUGCUUUGGCCGAUCUGGAAACGAAGCGUACAAGAACUUCUAAUUUGUAGUAUGUUCUGCACACCUGGAAUGCUGUAAACUUAAAAUGGCUUUCUGGUUGGAACAUCCCAUCCUCAUCAAGCCAUCUCUCUGGUCUGAACUCCUCUGCAUCAUCACCCCAUAUGAAUUUCAUUCUGCCCAUUGCAUAAGGUUGAUAACAAACCAUAUCUCCUUUCCUCACACUGAACCCAUCUGGAAGAGUAUCAUCAGAAAAGCAUAUCUUUGCAUCCUGCAAUCAAAGUGAAGAGGUAGUGAGAUCCAAAGAAAACCCCAGAACAUAGAAAGGAAGCUAAUUUCUAGCCUUCCCGAUACGCAUUGAAUGGAUAUCAGUUUAUAGAUGCAUGUUCUUUGAUGUGCAUUAACAAGUUCAGUUGGAGGAUUCAAGAUUCAAGGAAACUUUGCUUACAACUGGAACAGCGGGGUAGAGCCUUAAUGUUUCAGUUAAGGCUGCAUGGAGAUAGUGCAUUUUUCCUAGAGCUUCUUCGCUCAAGAUAGCAGCAAAUUCAGCAAAA
RNAcentral lists this long non-coding RNA (17012 nucleotides) under Theobroma cacao (cacao). RNAcentral's name for it is "long non-coding RNA (TCAC_LNC000630)". The record is from RNAcentral. Lineage: Eukaryota; Viridiplantae; Streptophyta; Magnoliopsida; Malvales; Malvaceae.